This 497-nucleotide ribosomal RNA is filed under the name uncultured bacterium. RNAcentral describes it as "partial 16S ribosomal RNA". It matches the Rfam family "Bacterial small subunit ribosomal RNA", at positions 28 to 507 of the family's 1533-position model. The record is from RNAcentral.
GAUGAACGCUGGCGGCGUGCCUAAUACAUGCAAGUCGAGCGAACGGACGAGAAGCUUGCUUCUCUGAUGUUAGCGGCGGACGGGUGAGUAACACGUGGAUAACCUACCUAUAAGACUGGGAUAACUUCGGGAAACCGGAGCUAAUACCGGAUAAUAUUUUGAACCGCAUGGUUCAAAAGUGAAAGACGGUCUUGCUGUCACUUAUAGAUGGAUCCGCGCUGCAUUAGCUAGUUGGUAAGGUAGCGGCUUACCAAGGCAACGAUGCAUAGCCGACCUGAGAGGGUGAUCGGCCACACUGGAACUGAGACACGGUCCAGACUCCUACGGGAGGCAGCAGUAGGGAAUCUUCCGCAAUGGGCGAAAGCCUGACGGAGCAACGCCGCGUGAGUGAUGAAGGUCUUCGGAUCGUAAAACUCUGUUAUUAGGGAAGAACAUAUGUGUAAGUAACUGUGCACGUCCUGACGGUACCUAAUCAGAAAGCCACGGCUAACUACGUG